AUAAAAUUCAAAUUUAGGAAACAUUAACGAAUCACCUUUGUGUUCUCUUUCUAGAUUCCUGCAAGUCAAGUACGUUACAAUUGUUUAACCGACUCUGGAAGUGCCCCUUCACACAGGUAAUGCUGGAGUAGAAUUCGAGCGUAGGAAUGCUAUUUGCUUACGGAAACGAUUAAUCGGAGCCAAGAUUGAUUUCUCAGAAUUGCGUUGUGUGGCUAAAAAGUACACUCCAGGCUCGUGC
Molecule: long non-coding RNA, 238 nt
Organism: Anopheles bellator
Lineage: Eukaryota; Metazoa; Arthropoda; Insecta; Diptera; Culicidae
Exons: 4
Source: RefSeq, a predicted model, not a curated record